This 575-nucleotide ribosomal RNA is filed under the name uncultured bacterium. Its description in RNAcentral is "partial 16S ribosomal RNA". It matches the Rfam family "Bacterial small subunit ribosomal RNA", at positions 355 to 923 of the family's 1533-position model. The record is from RNAcentral.
UGGGGAAUUUUGGACAAUGGGCGAAAGCCUGAUCCAGCAAUGCCGCGUGUGUGAAGAAGGCCUUCGGGUUGUAAAGCACUUUUGUCCGGAAAGAAAUCCUUGGCUCUAAUACAGUCGGGGGAUGACGGUACCGGAAGAAUAAGCACCGGCUAACUACGUGCCAGCAGCCGCGGUAAUACGUAGGGUGCAAGCGUUAAUCGGAAUUACUGGGCGUAAAGCGUGCGCAGGCGGUUUGCUAAGACCGAUGUGAAAUCCCCGGGCUCAACCUGGGAACUGCAUUGGUGACUGGCAGGCUAGAGUAUGGCAGAGGGGGGUAGAAUUCCACGUGUAGCAGUGAAAUGCGUAGAGAUGUGGAGGAAUACCGAUGGCGAAGGCAGCCCCCUGGGCCAAUACUGACGCUCAUGCACGAAAGCGUGGGGAGCAAACAGGAUUAGACACCCUGGUAGUCCACGCCCUAAACGAUGUCAACUAGUUGUUGGGGAUUCAUUUCCUUAGUAACGUAGCUAACGCGUGAAGUUGACCGCCUGGGGAGUACGGUCGCAAGAUUAAAACUCAAAUGAAUUGACGGGGUCAUA